Mauremys reevesii (Reeves's turtle) is the source of this 1252-nucleotide long non-coding RNA. RefSeq lists it as uncharacterized. Lineage: Eukaryota; Metazoa; Chordata; Testudines; Geoemydidae. The transcript is spliced from 3 exons. The record is from RefSeq and is a predicted model, not a curated record.
UAAUAAUUGCAUUGUUAUUUCUUAAUAGCAGUGCUAUGAAUAUGAAAAUAUUUCUCCUCUGAUUGAUUACUAGAAAUUCACUGCUUGGACUCCUAUACCGAGAGAUUUGAUUUUGAUAACAUCUGUGUGUAUUGAUCAUUAAUGAAAAUAUUGAAUAGUGUUGGGCCUAGUACCAGUCCCUGGAACCUGACUAGAAACACCUGCAUUCAGUGAUGAUUCCCCAUUGAUGACUACUUUUUGAGAUCUCAAAGUGACCAGACAUCAGUGAGGAUUCUGUCACAUCUUGGCCAGAUGUCAUACCUCUGCUUUUUCUAUAUAUAUCCCGCCCAGAUUUCAAGACAAAGUUGACUAGAACACAUAGUUUUGUAGUUCUGGAUGAUGAGGGCAAAAUGUUAGCAGAAGCUAUUUCCUUAUUGUUGGCAAGCUCUACUAUCAUGUAAUGGUCACUCAGGCAAUCUGUCUUCAGUUUGAUUUAUCCACCCUUAUUUUGUUGCUCAUUUUAUCAUUUGGAAUUUCUUGUAUUCUUAAUUUGACUGCUUUGCAGAACCCCUUGUAUCAUAAAUUACCUGACUCUGCUUCUCCUCUUAGAUUUAUCCCUCUCUUAUUGAUUUGUCUGGAAUUAUUUAUGGAUAAACUUCUAAAAAGAAUAAGGAAUAGCCACUAGUCUGUUGAAGCGGUGAUUUUUUUCUUUGUAUAAUUUUUCAUUUAUCAGCAUUAGAAAUAUCAAGUGAUAAAGCUAAGAAAGAUGAUCUUAUUAGCAUGAUCAAUGUAACUGUGUGUGUUAAAUGUACUUUAAGAGUUUGCAAUAGGACUCACUACCAAGGAAAGUGAAAAUCAAUAUAAAUAAACAAAUUUCUUUAUGUGAAACAGUUUCUGAUAGUGACAGAUCUUUAGUUAUACAGCAGCAGAUGGGAAACAUUGAUAGUACGGUGGUAAACACUAAUGCACCAAAAUGUGAAAGCUGAUGUUGUCUUUGAUAAUAAAGACCACCCCAAAACUUGCUGCUUGACAUCAUGAAUUAGCUGUUAACUUACUUGACUUUGUGGUAUCAUCUGUAGCAGUGCCAGGAAAUCCUGGCAGUGUGGCUGGAGCACUGCUCUGUUUGUUCAAUCACAGUAAAUCAAAGCACUGCAGCAUCCAUGAGAGAUCGUUCAAUUGUACGAACUUGGAAGAGUUUUGUCUAGUCUUAGGCCUGGUCUACACUAGGACUUUAAUUUGAAUUUAGCAGCGUUUAAUUCGAAUUAACCAUGCA